UACGUAGGUGGCGAGCGUUGUCCGGAUUUACUGGGCGUAAAGAGCGCGCAGGCGGCUGGUCAAGUCCGAUGUGAAAGCUCCCGGCUUAACUGGGAAAUUGCAUCGGAAACUGAUCGGCUGGAAGGUGGGAGAGGGUAGCGGAAUUCCCGGUGUAGAGGUGAAAUUCGUAGAUAUCGGGAGGAACACCGGUGGCGAAGGCGGCGACCUGGGUGGAUACUGACGCUGAGGUGCGAAAGCGUGGGGAGCAAACAGG
RNAcentral lists this ribosomal RNA (253 nucleotides) under uncultured bacterium. RNAcentral describes it as "partial 16S ribosomal RNA". It matches the Rfam family "Bacterial small subunit ribosomal RNA", at positions 524 to 776 of the family's 1533-position model. The record is from RNAcentral.